AAAGAGGACGAUUGGCAGUAGUUAGCUCAGGGCUAAUCUUCCUCAAAAAAAAAAAAAGUUUCUUAAUAAUGGACGUGUUACUUUUUAACUCAGGAUAAGAUAAAAUUUAAAAAAAAGAAGCUUGUUUAUGAUAUAAAGGUGGAGUUGAGAACUGGGAUAUAAUGCAGGUAAGUCAUACCCAAUGGAAUUUACUGCAGAGCCGUGUGUUUUCAUCCCUCCAUUGACAAGGUGGACAUUCACGCGGGUCCAAGUCAGGCUGAGUUUGCCUGGUGACCAGCUCUUUCUUCUGACCAUCACCUCUGGGAUGUGAGUUGCUGUCAGUGGCCCUGCUGUGGGGACCAGGGCCGGUCACAAGGUCUGCUGCAAGCCCAGGAGAGUCCCCAGUGAUCCUGCUCCAGGGCCAGAACAUCAGCAUACCGGUGACUCCGUGUGGCUUUGUUUCCUGGGUGUAUCUUGUAGGUAGCCUUGUAGACUCAUCGGGUCAUAUUCUGAUCCCUGGGAAUCUAUGACCACGUGGCUCCUCUUACUGAAGAGGAAAAAAAAAAUGUACGAAGCCAUUGACCUGGACCUAGAAGAAUACCGGAAUAGCAGCCAGGUUAAGAAAUUUCUGUUUGACACCAAGGAGGAAAUUCUAAUGCACCUAUGGAGGUACCCAUCUCUUUCUAUUCACGGGAUUGAGGGCGCCUUUGAGGAGCCUGGAGCUAAAACAGUCAUACCUGGCCGAGUUGUAGGAAAAUUUUCAAUCCGUCUAGUCCCUCACAUGAACAUGUCCGUGGUGGAAACACAGUGUUUGGAACAGAACCAGAUAUGAUCCGGGAUGGAUCAACCACACCAAUUGCCAAUAUAUUCCAGGAUGUUAUCCAAAAGAGUGUGAUGAUGCUCCCGCUGGGCACUGUGGACGAUGGAGAGCACGCGCAGAAGGAGAAAAUCAACAGUGAGCAGGUUCUUGAGGGGGCUGAUCUCUCAGUGUGCAAACCACAGGGUGUCCACAUCAGUAACCUUCCGACAUGCUGCAUAUUUUAGAUUGAAUUUAUGUCAUCAAAUCUUCCUGUUUAAAUUGUAGACUACUUUUCCUCCAUUAUUUGAA
This is a non-coding RNA of Equus caballus (horse), 1087 nucleotides long. NCBI's taxonomy places the organism in Eukaryota, Metazoa, Chordata, Mammalia, Perissodactyla, Equidae. The record is from RefSeq and is a predicted model, not a curated record.